Molecule: long non-coding RNA, 918 nt
Filed under: Equus caballus (horse)
Lineage: Eukaryota; Metazoa; Chordata; Mammalia; Perissodactyla; Equidae
Description: lncRNA (ENSECAG00000043183.2)
Source: RNAcentral
UGUACUUUCUAGGGCAUAACUGGGGUUUUGUUAACACUGUAGAUAUACCCAGUCCUGUGUUUACUCAUUCCAUAAGUAUUUACUGGGCAUUGUCGGAUGGGCCUGAGACUCUGCUGAGCUCUGGGGUCCCAGGCACACCGACAAGCCAGACAGACAUGGUUUCUGUCACCAUGGCACAUACAGGCUCAUGAGAAAGAUGACAGAGAGAUGACAACAGACAAGUAAGCAGACAAAGAGAGACAACUGCAGGUUGUCGUGAGUAAGCAUGGCGGACAGCGAGAGCCUACUGCUGAGUAACAAGUGAAGGCGUCUUUGGGGUGGCGGUGUUUAAGAGGAGCUCUGACGAACCAGGAGUAAAAAGUGAUGCAAACUUUAGUCAGAAAGUGUAUUCCUGGCAGAUGGAGCAGGUUCCAGAAGUGUGAAUGGGGUUGGUACAUUUAAGAAGCAGAGAAGGCCAGUGUGCCUGGAGCAUUUUGAGGAAAAACAGGAAAUCAGUUGAGAUUACUGCAGCUCCCUGGGCGAAAAGUGACAGCAGCCUGGACCAGAGUGAUACCUUGAAUGUGUGGAGAAGACACGAUUGACAGCACUUGUUGAAAGAUUGGAAGUCGCCACAAGGAAGAGAGAGGAAGGAGAGCCGACCUCAGGAUCCUGAGGAAAAGGUCAGGAGACCUGCCCUGCAAAGAGAGAUCAUGAAUUUAAUUUUCAGAAAGGGAACUAAAACACACUUGAUCCAUGCAACCUCUCGCGGCUUAUAGAUCAAAAUGGGAAGAAUGCAAAGAUUAGCACGGCCCCUUCACGUGGCUAGUUCACACAUUUGUGAUGUGUAAUCAAUAAAAAAAGCUGAUCGCACUCCAAAAAGAAAAGUAUAAAGAAAAAACAAACUAAAAUAAAUAUUGUCACUAAGAAAGAUUAAAGGGG